GACGAACGCUGGCGGCGUGCCUAAUACAUGCAAGUCGAGCGGACGGAUGGGAGCUUGCUCCCAGACCGUCAGCGGCGGACGGGUGAGUAACACGUGGGCAACCUGCCUGUAAGACUGGGAUAACUCCGGGAAACCGGGGCUAAUACCGGAUAACUCUUUCCCUCACAUGAGGGAAAGCUGAAAGAUGGCAUCUCGCUAUCACUUACAGAUGGGCCCGCGGCGCAUUAGCUAGUUGGUGAGGUAACGGCUCCCCAAGGCGACGAUGCGUAGCCGACCUGAGAGGGUGAUCGGCCACACUGGGACUGAGACACGGCCCAGACUCCUACGGGAGGCAGCAGUAGGGAAUCUUCCGCAAUGGGCGAAAGUCUGACGGAGCAACGCCGCGUGAGUGAUGAAGGUUUUCGGAUCGUAAAACUCUGUUGUCAGGGAAGAACAAGUACCGGAGUAACUGCCGGUGCCUUGACGGUACCUGACCAGAAAGCCACGGCUAACUACGUG
This 498-nucleotide ribosomal RNA is filed under the name uncultured bacterium. Its description in RNAcentral is "partial 16S ribosomal RNA". It matches the Rfam family "Bacterial small subunit ribosomal RNA", at positions 28 to 507 of the family's 1533-position model. The record is from RNAcentral.